Non-coding RNA from Caerostris darwini, 121 nucleotides. The record is from the annotation of a GenBank genome assembly. NCBI's taxonomy places the organism in Eukaryota, Metazoa, Arthropoda, Arachnida, Araneae, Araneidae.
ACGGCCGUACCAUGCUGAAUAUACCGGUUCUCGUUAGAUCACCGAAGUUAAGCAUCAUUGGAAAUUGUCAGUACUUUUAAAAAAUGGGUGGGUGACCACCUGGGAACACUGCGUGCCGUUG